AGUCUCGCAGUCGUUGACCGCAUUUCCGGUUGCCGUUAGCUCGAAGUGCUUGUCAAAUUGGGUGGUUCAUUCUUUAAAGAGGUGUUCUGCCUGUACUAUUAUGGGAAAUAAAAAUAGUAGCAAGCUAAAGCCAGAAGACUUGGAAGAUUUAAGACGGCAUACGGAAUUUUCAGAUGAAGAAAUAAAGGAAUGGUAUAAGGGCUUUUUAAAGGAUUGUCCCAGUGGAACAUUAACUGUUAGCGAGUUUAAAAAAAUCUAUGGGAACUUUUUUCCAUAUGGGGAUGCAUCAAAAUUUGCUGAACAUGUCUUUCGAACGUUUGAUACUAACGGAGACGGUACAAUAGACUUCCGUGAAUUUAUAUGCGCUCUGAGUAUCACUUCUAGAGGAAAGCUGGAUGAAAAAUUACGAUGGGCUUUUAACAUGUAUGAUCUGGACGGUAAUGGAUAUAUUUCUCGGCAGGAAAUGCUUGAAAUCGUAACGGCUAUAUACAAAAUGGUCGGAUCGGUAAUGAAAAUGCCCGAAGAUGAGAGUACUCCAGAAAAGAGAACGGAUAAAAUAUUCCGUCAAAUGGAUAAGAAUGAAGACGGAAAACUCUCCCUCGAAGAAUUCAUUGAAGGCGCUAAAAGUGACCCAUCAAUUGUUCGACUGCUACAAUGCGAUCCUGGUUCGGUAGGCGGAACUGCUGCUUAAAGACGCCUUCGAACUGGCGUAUUCAGUAUUCGAAUAAUUUAAAGAAUUUUUUACUUGAACUUUUUUAUUUCUUCUCCUUUCGCCGUAGACGAAAUCAAGAUAAACUGUAAGGAUGUGCUAAUGAUUGUGUAGUUUGAGCAACAGAUCCAUGGUCAUAAACACGUAGUUGCCAAUGAUAAUUAGCAACCUACCUUCUAUUGCAGUUCUCAGCCGCCGAAGUACAUUCCGAUAGUUCUUGUAAAUAAUUUUCCUCUUUUAUUAUUUACCCAUUCAAAUAUAUUUACUACUUUUGUCAAUCUAUUUAAAAACAAGACCCAUAUGACAGGUUUAAAUCUUUCUUCAUGUCGUACAUUUUCAGAAUUGGCACAUCGUUAAGAGGUUCAGAUCAAAAUUUGAAUAACAAAUUGAAUUUACAAUUACUAUACUUUAAACUAAUAAAUUUUCAUCUUAUUCGGAAUCGGUAAUAGGAACGUUGGUAUUCUUUGUCUAUUUAAAAAAUAUUCUGCUGCAAAAGUUAGACCUGCAACAGAAUAUUUGAAGUGUUUUUUAAUGAAUUUUUCUAUUCAAAUCUAAUUUAUAUUAUAACUUGUGAGUCUAAAAAUAUAGCAAACCUUAAAGUGAUGAAUGACUAAUAUCUUCAGUUAAAAUAAAGAAAUUACAUAUUAAAAGUAGUUGUUAAUGUCUUUAUUACAUUGUGUCUCCCUGUCCAACUGUCUCCACUACAAAUGCAUCAGGAACAAUUAAUUGUGUAAGGGUACAGCAAAUUUGCGAAAUUGGAGAUUGUAAGGUAUUUUUAAACGAAAAGUUUGAUUAAGGAAAUUCAAAUAUUUGCACCGGUUAGUUUUCAAUUCGUAAAGCAUAACUCUCGGAGAAAGACAUCAGUAACUUACGAUAAAGUGUAAUACAAAUAAUUAAAAGAAGCAGCAAACAGCGUGACUGAUUCUGAUUGGCUCCUUAAAAAUGAUUUCUUUUACGAGUUUGCGCGAAAGAGAACUAAAAUUCUUUUACAUGUAUACUAUAUGAUGCAAAAAGGUAUCAGAAUUUACAGCCAAUCGCAAUCAAGCAAUUUCCGCCUUCAAUUCAAAAGCAAUUUAGUGCUCUUAAAGUACAGUGUUUGUUAAGUAUGAAACUGGACGUAUUACAAAAACAAAAGUCUUUUACAAUAGACGCCAUAAUCGGAAAAGAUAAUGAAACUGUUGAAAAAAGAAACGAGCCUGUUUCGUCUGCCUCAGCUCAAACAGCCUCCCCAGUGUUUCCAUCAUACUAUUCAGCGAAUCUUAGAAGAAGUCUGGCUGUUAAUAGUAUAGAAAUAAUGAGAACAUUAUCAAGCGACCGAAAUCUUUUUUCUGGCUCAUGGCUCAUACCUCCAACAACUUACCCACUCUCGCAGUUUGCUCUUGGUAAUAUUCAACAAAAAUUAGCAGUGCAAGAUUUGAAUUUUUUGCAACCUUACCGAAAACCGAAAAGAAUACGAACAGCAUUUAGUCCGUCUCAACUACUGCAAUUGGAACAUGCCUUCGAAAAAAACCACUAUGUCGUGGGACAAGAAAGAAAGCAGCUGGCGUCCAAUCUAUGUUUAACCGAAACUCAGGUACAAUUAUAAAAAAGAAAUGUUAAAGUUUGGUUUCAAAAUCGGCGAACGAAAUACAAACGCACGAAAGAAGACAUACUUUGUGAUGCUAAAACUGUGGACAACGAUAUGUGCGAGUCAGAUUAGCGUUACUUUUUAUUUUGUUUUUGCAAUGUAUAUAUUAAUACAUAAAAGAGAAAUUUUAAAAAUAAACCAAAAAGUAAUUAGGAUUGAU
Molecule: unclassified non-coding RNA, 2496 nt
Filed under: Dimorphilus gyrociliatus
Lineage: Eukaryota; Metazoa; Annelida; Polychaeta; Dinophilidae
Description: dgyrCDS1122
Source: RNAcentral